Molecule: unclassified non-coding RNA, 720 nt
Filed under: Bombus terrestris (buff-tailed bumblebee)
Lineage: Eukaryota; Metazoa; Arthropoda; Insecta; Hymenoptera; Apidae
Description: misc RNA ENSBTSG00005024523.1
Source: RNAcentral
GCCGCGUAUGCAAAGUGCAAGUUAUCUUGGCAAGUGAUAAGGGAGACACGCGAGUCGUGCAUAUCUCAGAGGAUAUAAGCAACGACACUUUGCCAGUGGUGCGGUCAGACCAAUGCGAAACAUACUGCGACGCGAGGUAUAAACAUCGUCCACGAGCCUCCUGGUUAUUUACAUAAUAUUUACGCAACUAUGGUUGCGCGAACCAUCCUUGCCAUAGUGCGCGUGGUUCGCGCUUGCGGUCCGCUUUACGCCGGAAUUCUGGUUGAAUUUCACCAGAUUCGGCCAAGAAGAAACCGACAGAAUCUGACUUUCUUCGGUGCAAAAGAAAAUCACGGGAAAAAGCGAGCAACACGCGGAGAAAGCCAGCAAUUUCGCAGUUUCUUCAACGUCUAUCACAGCGAGAAUCGGCGAACGAACUCGAAGCAACCGGACGCGGGUAGAGGAGCGAUUACUAACUCGGUAACGAGGCUUUCCCAGUUUACCAUCGUCAUGGGCAGCACGUUCGGUAGCGCGGCGUUUAGUCGACCCUUGGGUGUAUAAUCACGUCCGAGUUGCGGCGGCCAAUACAACCAGCUGCGUUGACUAGAUGAUUUACAACUAUUAGGCGACCGCUGGCCGACCGAGCGAGUGGAGUUCGCGCGCGCCAACCACCGGAAGAGAGAAACGCGCGCGAAUCGUCGCGCGAGAGCGUUGCACCUCUUUUCGCGACCCCGACGCGUC